Molecule: ribosomal RNA, 692 nt
Filed under: Erinacellus dendroides
Lineage: Eukaryota; Fungi; Ascomycota; Lecanoromycetes; Peltigerales
Description: SSU rRNA
Rfam family: Eukaryotic small subunit ribosomal RNA
Source: RNAcentral
GAUAGAACCUUACUACCUGGAUACCGUGGUAAUUCUAGAGGUAAUACAUGCUAAAAACCCCGACUUCGGAAGGGGUGUAUUUAUUAGAUAAAAAACCAAUGACCUCCGGGGGUCCUUGGUGAUUCAUAAUAACUUAACGAAUCGCAUGGCCUUGUGCCGGCGAUGGUUCAUUCAAAUUUCUUCCCUAUCAACUUUCGAUGGUAGGAUAGUGGCCUACCAUGGUUUCAACGGGUAACGGGGAAUUAGGGUUCUAUUCCGGAGAGGGAGCCUGAGAAACGGCUACCACAUCCAAGGAAGGCAGCAGGCGCGCAAAUUACCCAAUCCCGACACGGGGAGGUAGUGACAAUAAAUACUGAUACAGGGCUCUUUUGGGUCUUGUAAUUGGAAUGAGUACAAUUUAAAUCCCUUAACGAGGAACAAUUGGAGGGCAAGUCUGGUGCCAGCAGCCGCGGUAAUUCCAGCUCCAAUAGCGUAUAUUAAAGUUGUUGCAGUUAAAAAGCUCGUAGUUGAACCUUGGGCCUGGCUGGCCGGUCCGCCUCACCGCGUGCACUGGUUCGGCCGGGCCUUUCCUUCUGGGGAGCCGCAUGCCCUUCAUUGGGUGUGUCGGGGAACCAGGACUUUUACUUUGAAAAAAUUAGAGUGUUCAAAGCAGGCCUAUGCUCGAAUACAUUAGCAUGGAAUAAUAGAAUAUG